Passer domesticus (house sparrow) is the source of this 1218-nucleotide long non-coding RNA. RefSeq lists it as uncharacterized. Lineage: Eukaryota; Metazoa; Chordata; Aves; Passeriformes; Passeridae. The record is from RefSeq and is a predicted model, not a curated record. The transcript is spliced from 4 exons.
CCAUACCUGUUUGAUCUCAUGGUGCAAAGACGUGUGUGUUAUGAGCUUGUGAUAAAGUUCCUGUGAUAAAGCAGUGAAGAUGUGACAGCUCCAGGCAGGCCCCAGCCCGUGCUCUGGGAUACAGAUGUUGGCACUGCUGGAGGAUGGUCCCAGCAAAUCUUCACCAAGGACUUCAGAGGGCUGAAUAUCUGUAGCUGUUGUUUGCUAAACAAGAGCGCCGGUGGCAGAGGAAUUAGAAGAAAUCCCUUCUUAAUUGGAAACACAUUUUUGAGGUACUGACAGUAUUUCUCAUCUCUCAUGGGGACGAGGAGUCAGUUCUGAAAAAUUUUGUGAACCAGAAAACCAAAGGCUUAAUUCUGAAGAGAGAAGACCUUUUCAACUAAAGCCCUGGGAUGUGUCACUGGAGGAAGUACAAAAGCCAAACAUUUGGACAAUUUGGACAAGGGUUUGAGCUUUUUUCCCAGUUGAAACAACUGUCCAAACCACUCUUCUUGCCUGCAAAAAGUAAAAUGGGCAUUUUCCCACUGUUCCCCUUCCCAGGCCCAUUGCAUAGGGAGUUUCCCAGCUGGCCCAGUGAAUGGUGGGCAAAUGCAGGGAUGGGGCAAACGGGAUGGAGCCAGAGUUGGAGGAGCAGCUUGAACCACUGUGAGAUCCACUGGACUCUUUCAUUGUGGCUCCAGGAUUUUGUCCUCCUUCCCACCAUCAUGGUCCCUCAGCAGGGACUUCAAAGGCACAGGAAUCCCUUGAGGCACUGAAGAUACAGAUGAGCUUCUACUGCAGCCUUCAAAAGCAUUUAGGAUGAUUAAAAUCUGCCUCCUGAUGGGGCCUUGAACCACAUGGAAAGCGGGAUUUAGGUUCUUAGAUUUCUUCUCUGCUUUUGAAAUUUGCUUUUUUGGGACUGGUGGUUCUUAGUGGCCAGUCAAGGAAGGACGGCUGGGAGUGAGAUCAGGAAAGCAAUGUUUUGUCCCUUGGGGCACUGCCAUGCAGUUUUUCAGGCAGAGCCAAGAGAAAAGUGUCCUGGAGGAGGAUGGAGAGGAUGAGUGGAGGCACAGACCUGUCCCUGAGGGGAACACUCAGUGAGUGAUAAAGCAGGAGUAGAUGGUCUGCCCCAACCCUCCUGGUCCUCAGAAGUGGCUCAAGGAGCACUAAACACAGCAGUGACAUUCUUUUCCUCCUCUCUAAAACACGCCCUGACCUCUAAACUCGGUUGUAUAUUUA